GGGCUCGGUUCACCUCUUUAUUGGGUUUUCCCGAACCCAUUUCAAUUUAUUUGGGCCUAAUGGGUUUCGGACCCGAACUUGGAUCCGACCCGUUAGGCAACCCGUUAAGGGUUCUUUCUGGGGUUUUCCUGAGGCUUCGGCCUCUUUCGUCCGUGCCUCUCCCUCUCCCCCUUCCUCCGGUUCCCUUUCUCUUCUCCUCGCCGCCUUUCGGCUCCUCCCUCUCCUCUCGCUGGCGACCGGGGAGAUGAAGCUCCCUCGAUCCACCGGCCAGGGCGGUGCUCCCCCCUCAGGGCAGCGGCGGCGGGAGACCGGCCCCUUUCCCCUCUUCUCCCUUCCCCCCUUUUUUUUGUUCUUCUUCCUCUUCCGUUUACCCUCCUCCCUUUUCCCCCUUUUUUUAUAGAAACCGCGCCACCACCUCUUCGCCAGCGCAGAGGUGGGGCUUGGCUGAGGCUGGCGGCCUUGAGGCCGCGUCUGUCGCCGGCUCGGCCAGACCCAGCGGCCCUUGGCUGCCCCUUAGCCUUAGGGCAGCCGCGGCCAGCGGCUGCGGUGCCCUGUCACCCGCAGGCCGAGUCCAGUUGGGCUUGGCCCGAGUGGACAUCGGGCCUGGGCUUGGGCCAUCCUCAGGCCGGCCUGCGGCCUGUGAGUCCGGCCUGCAGCCCGUGGAUCCGGCCCGUGGCUCUUCUCCUGUCUCCCCCAGUGCCGGUCUUCUUCCUUUGUGCCGGUCUUCCUUCCUGUGCCGGUCUCCUCCCCUCUGUUUCAUUAAUGAAACAGAGAGGAGAACACCCCACAGAAGGGUUUCUCCAUCCUUUUUCCCUACCUAAAACCCUGUUCACCGGGGCCCUUACCUUGAUUUGGUUGGCUGGAGUUGGGCAGUACCUCCUCCUCAGCAAGCUCCCUCCUUCCUCUCCUAGGGCUGUAAGGUCCCUUCUGCCUCCAGCUCCAAGGCUCAGCUCUCUGGUGCAGUAAAUCCAGAGGAUUAGAGGUUUAGGAGGGUAUAUCAAAAUCGGGGGUUAGCAAAUUUUAGGGGUUAUAAAUAUUUGGCUUAGGACUUGACCCCAAGGAGAGGUGGCAUCCUCUCCUUCCUCACUGCUCCGGGAGCCACCAGCUACCCCCCCCCUCUUCAGGCCAACUCAAUGCUCAACUACCGAGGGGGAGGAGGUGGCGGGCUCCCGUUUUGCAUGUCUGUGGGGGUCUCUCCGUUGGCCAGCUGGUGGUCCUAUCCUUUCAGCCCUCAGGCGGGAGAUGACAGUCCUCCAUGGCUACUCUUCAUGGGCCAGCGUAGCCCACUAACCCCCCCGGGCCCAAUACUCUUCAACUGGGCCCUACUGUAUUGGGUCCGGUCUGUAUUGGGCCCAGAUAUUACAGGAUUUGAGCUCUCCUUCAACAUUCAAAUCCAAGUGGCUGAAAGUAUAGCAGAGAGGUGGGAUGCAUGGUAAACAUGAGAAAAUCAUAGCUCUGUUUUCUUUUUCGUUAUUUCAGAUUGGGAAAUGUGGUGAUUUAGCAUUUUAAGCAAGUCUUAACACACCAUGACAAGCUGAUACAUUUCCUACUUCUUUUUAUUCUAGUAAGACGAUAUGUUUUCUUUUGAUCAUGAUAGGAUCACAACAGACCAUUGCUUGAUUAAAAACUUGGAAAUUAAGGGCUAAGAUUUAUGGUCCAAAACAGACCAUAUAUAGAUAAGGUACCAAGCAGAAUACUUUACAACGUUAUGGUAGCCACUGUUUGCCAAAGAACAAAGUCACUUUUGCUGAAGAUUCUUAAACAAGAAUCUGCUUUUUGAUGGUCAACUUUUGUUAAAUUUUUUAAAUAGUUUUCUUGAGUCCAUGGGAGACAAAAAGAUCUACAAAAAUAGAGGUUGUACAAUUAUAAAUUCCCAAAAUGGAAUAAAUGAACACAAUUUAGUUGUUUUGCAUGAGUACAACAUAGAUGUGAUGGAUUAAAAACAUACAUAUUUGAGUGAACAGAAUGUAAGACUUGUACACAUAAAGAAGCUACAUUUAGUAAAAUGUAGUCAUAGGUGCAACCUCUAAACAUUUCAUAUGCAUUAUGUUGUCGUACCUUUCCGAUUAUUUUCAGUUGCAUAAAAGUAGAGAAACAAAAGAAAUUUUAUGCAUGCAACCAAGAUGGUUACUUUCCCCAACAUUGAAUACUUUACAGGCAACUCAUCAUGCAUGUACAUCUGGAAUUGGUGUACACUCUCCUGUGAGUUUUAUGAAUCGAAGCAUCGUACUAGCUUAUGGAGAAUCCCAACUUGGCCAGGAUAUCAGCACAGGAGCUUACUUCCUGUCAGCUAUACAUGACUCGAUGGUCUUCCAUAUAGGCAAUUAGAUCCGGACACAACCCCUUAUCCCUCAGUAGAUGAAACACUACUAGAGCUCACCAUCCAUUUCCACUUUUCAUACACCCCAAUACCAUUUCAUUCCAACAGACGAUAUCUCUUUAUAGCAUUCUAUCAAAAAGCCCCUAAGAAAUAUGAAACUCACCAACCUUGUUGCAGGAAACAAGAAGAGAACUCCCCAAGAGAGUGUCAGCAAGCUCCAACAACAUAAACAUGGAUGGAUCUCCCGAGCCUCUCAUCUCCGAACCCUGUAGCGCACCAGAAGCAACAUUGAGAGUGUCGGCAAAGUGGGUUUCAUGCCUCUAAGAACCCAUCCAGGAAAACAGAGACAAUUUACAAGCAUAGCAUCGCAUUCCACGCACCAAAAUAUCUCUCUUUCAGGAAUUCAUUCAAACAGCUUGCGAGCAUACUUGACAUGUCCAUGUAUUCACAGAGUACAUCCUCUAAGGCAGUGGCGAUGUCUCUCCAGGGUCAAAGUCCAAGUCUCCCAGUUUACUUGGAUGAAUUUAUAAUACCGUAUGGACGACCAGAGCACUCUCGAAGCUUGGCAUGGAACACCGGUCCUUGACGAGUCUGGAUCCUCCACCAUGCGUGAUUUGCACGGCAAAGAUAACAGUUAAUUACUACCAGAACAAUAUUAGAAGUAUGCCCUACAAGCCAAUUUGGCUAACACAUUAUUAUAUUGUGGAGCAUAAAUUUAUACUUGGCCUAAUUAUGAAUUUAUUAAGUUGGGCAUUCUUUUUAUUCAUGUUCUUAUGUGUCCAUGAAUCGUCCAAAAAUUAAUAAGAUGAUGACGCAUAUUCUCAAGAGUUAAAAAUUUGAGAUAUGUGUCAUUGGUAAUUAAUUCCUAAAUUGCUCCUGAUCGAUGGACCAUCACGAGGACGGUGAUCGAUCCGCUGAGAUUAGUGCACAGAUCACUUUUUUUGAUGGACGAGUCUUGAGUCCACAGUAUGGGGACACUGAAGUGAUUGUGCAAAUGCUUAUUAGAGGACGGUGACCAUAGCAAGUAAUUACUUGGAUGUUUAUCCACUCGUCAAUGACUUACUUGAUGCUGCAGUUGUAUGACUGGUCCUUUGACCUGCAAUGCCUGGCUAUUCACAAUGAGGUUGCUAUAGUUUGACGAGCACAUAAACAUGGGCCCUAUCCAUUUGGGUCCUUGUGGUGCAGAUUGGUUGCAGUAGGUUCAUUGUAGGAGUAGGGGUGCAUCUAGAUAGAAUCUAUCGAUCUUGAUAAAUUAGGAGAGAUCCUACAUGAUUUAUGAGACUGAGUUCGUAAAUUCUUGACUAAGGUAGUUUUUGGAAAAAGAGUUUUUCAAUCUCGAACUGGAGUCGAAUAAAUUUUACAUAUGACAGAUGAUGGGGUUUGACGAGUUAUCCAUGACCUCCAUCCAGUCGAGAUCCACGAUAGAGGGACUAUAUCAUACAUUAACUGCACCUAGAUGUUCAUCUAUUUCAUUUUGCUGGGUAGCCACUACAUGCUGCUAGAUGUCACUGGUGGAUUGUGAGAUUCAAAGGCAUUUACUUGGUGAUCAGUGAACCCAAAUGAGAAGAGUUGGAAUUGUUCCAACCCAUUGAAAGGAGUUUCAAUGAUAUUGUGAUAGGGAUCACAAUUUAUCUCACUACCAGACAGAAUAGAACCUAUUGGGUCACACGCAUUAGAGGUAUUGACCGAUCCGAUGGUUGAAUUGUGAUUUGGAAUCACAAUAGUUCAUUAUUAUCAAUUUGAUUGAUAAUUGGUUUAACUCACUAAGAGUUAGUGAGUAGAAGAAAGAAUAAUUGCAAUUAGAUUGCAAUUUAAUUAAAUCAAUUGGACUUAAUUAAUUGGGUUUGAUCUUAUUAAAUAAGAGUCAUACUUGGAGUAGGACUCUUAGAGUCUUAAUUAGAUUAGGAUUUCAAAUUAUUAGAAUCCUAAUUGGAUUAGGAUUCCUAAAGUCCUAAUUGAAUUAGGACUGAAAUUAUAUGAGUCCUAAUUGGAUUAGGACUCCUAGAUUCCUAAUUAAUUUUUGGUCUAAUAGAUAAAGGUGACUCCUAAUUGGAUUAGGAUUGAAGAGUUCAAUUGAGUCAUGAUCUAAUUGGGUCCUAAUCAGAUUAGGACCCUUAUGGAUAAACAUGAGGCCACCUAAUCUCUUUUUUUGAAAGGAAUUAGACACCCAUAAAGAGGCCCCACACCCCACUUCAUUUAACGAAGUGGAGAGUGGGGCAUGAGAAAAAAAGGAGGGGCGUACGCCCCUCCCCUUAGUUUUUACGUGAGAAGAGAAUAGGAGGGGCGUCCUAGAGAUAGACUUGGAGCUCCUAAAAGUUAGGAGCUCCACACGUCUUGAAAGAAAAAAAAAAGGGGACGGCCCCCUAGGGCUUUUCUUCUCUUCUUUCAGCUGUAAGGCCCCUUAUACUCUUGGGUUUCAGCCGCAAACAAAAAAAAGGGAGGGAGGCGUGUGGUUUUUCCCUUCUUCCUUCUUCCACCGCAAGAAAAAGAAUCAAAGGGAAAGGGCAGCAAGAAGGGUGAAUCCUUUUUCUCCCUUCUAGUCCUUCCUCCUCUCUAAGGCAAGCAAGAGUUGAUUCAUUAGAGAUGACUUCAGCCAUCAAAACAUAUUUCUGCAAGGGAGCUAGCACCCUAGGGAGAUUAGAGAGUUUGGAUUGAUCCUCUACCUCGUUUGGAUACCCGUAGAGGCCGGACGCGUGUGCGGCUUCAAGCAAACCUCCAACAAAUCCACGAUCAUCAGAUUGCGGUGAAUAUCAACCCACACAAGGUAAAAAUCUGAUCUUCCUAAUCUUAUGAAAAAGUUUUAAUCCUAAUCUAUCUAUGAACAUCGGUUUUAAAAUACGUUCAUGCUUUUUUGAUGCGAUCUCGCGCAUUCCUCUUCUGCUGCGUUUUGAUUUUUCUGCGGCAUGCGCGGGAUUCCAAAAGUUUUGCAUGUCCAUACCUAAUUGUUUACUUGAGAAUAUACCGAGUAUUAUUGCAUGUGCAAUCUAACAAAAGUUUUGCAUGUCCGGGCAUGCAAUACAAACGAAGAAAAGAAGAACNNNNNNNNNNNNNNNNNNNNNNNNNNNNNNNNNNNNNNNNNNNNNNNNNNNNNNNNNNNNNAAUUGGUAAGCCGAAUACAGUGAGUUUGUGCCCAUUAAUCCCAACAGAACAACAUACAAAAUAGAGAGAUUGGCUGAAGAAAGAAUUAAGAACAAUACAUAUAUCUAGAUGCUCUCCAACUUAGGGCUCGUUUGGUUCGUGGGAAACAUUUUUUCUCAUAGGAAUAUGAUUCUUGGAAAGCAGAUUCCUGAGAAGAGGAUGUCUGGAAAGUACUUUUGGCAUAUUUGGUUGACCAUGAGAAAGUGACAGAUUUUCAGAGUACUUAUGUUUGGUUGACCAUCUACUGUUCUAGGUAAGUUAUAUGUAAUUCCUAUUAUACCCUUAAUAAAAAUUGGGUUUUUAAUGCUUUGGAUCAAAUAAGGGUAGCUGAAGAGCCUUUUUUGGAAAAAAUAAAAAUGUUUCAAUUUUUGGCUCACGGAAAAGUAACUUUUCCAUGUUUCUCAUGGAAAAGUCAACGUGGAAAUCAUAUUCCCAUCAGAAUACAACUUUUUCGUCUCUCUUCUUUAAAAACUCCAACCAAACAAGAAGCAUCUCUUUACUUUCCCAUUGACUACACUUUCUCUCCUUUUUUUUCUGCAAACCAAACGAGCUCUUAAGGUUACAAGAAUAUGAAAAACAUAAUUGUGAGAUACGGGGCUGAAGUCGGCAGCCCCAGCCGACUUCAGCCCCGAUCCUGAUAUGGGAGGAACCGGAGAGGAUUGCCAUCCUCUCCGGCUCCUCCGGGGGACCAAAAGGGGCAAGGACGCCGCGGGUAAUCCGCGGCGCCCCUUUAGCCAAUCCGCGGCCAAUUCACGGCCGCGGAUCUCGCCCGACCGCCGCGAUUUUCGUGGCGGAGGGCCGUUAUGGUGGGGAUGAUAAAAACCCCACCCUUUCUUCCCUAGGGCACCACCGAACCCCCCUCCUCUCCUCCUUCUCCUCCCUCUUCUUCCUCUGCUCUUGCCUCCCAAGUGGCUGGCGGGCCGCCGGAUCCACCACCAUCACCACCCGUGCCCUCCCCUGUUUUGGGAUCCACUUCCCUUUCGGAAAGCGNNNNNNNNNNNNNNNNNNNNNNNNNNNNNNNNNNNNNNNNNNNNNNNNNNNNNNNNNNNNNNNNNNNNNNNNNNNNNNNNNNNNNNNNNNNNNNNNNNNNNNNNNNNNNNNNNNNNNNNNNNNNNNNNNNNNNNNNNNNNNNNNNNNNNNNNNNNNNNNNNNNNNUUGAAUCUUGACCCCGGCCAUCGCAACGGCCGCCAGCCGCCACUGCGGCCGGCUGGCCGUCGACCGAGGGGUGGCCUCUGGCCACCCCGCCGCCCCCUUCCUCUUCCGCUCUCCCUCUCGGUCUUCCCCUACCGUGGGGGGGAUUGGGGGAGGAAGAUGGCCCUACGGGCCGAACAGGGCCCAACAUGGGCCGGUUCACUAUGGGCCCGGUUCACUGUGGGCCCAACAUGGGCCCGGUUAAAAAAAAAAAAAUUCCGAAACUGAAACCCAGUUCAGAUCUGAGCCCGGAACCCGAAUCCGAACCCAAACCCGAAACCCGAACCCAUUUGGCCACUAAAUGAAAUUUUGCAGAUAAGCCCUUGACAGUAUAUUAUUUCACAAAAAGGAUCUUCUGUAUUUUGUAUUUGAUCCCUAUAGGAAAGACUUAUUACGUAAAGGUCCCCAACAAUAUUUAUUUAGUCCCCUCACUCAAGUUUUAUUAUAGAACAGUACCCUAUAAUUAAGUAUUAGU
Molecule: long non-coding RNA, 7124 nt
Filed under: Phoenix dactylifera (date palm)
Lineage: Eukaryota; Viridiplantae; Streptophyta; Magnoliopsida; Arecales; Arecaceae
Description: long non-coding RNA (PDAC_LNC003547)
Source: RNAcentral